Molecule: ribosomal RNA, 421 nt
Filed under: uncultured microorganism
Description: bacterial SSU rRNA
Rfam family: Bacterial small subunit ribosomal RNA
Source: RNAcentral
GAGUUUGAUCGUGGCUCAGAUUGAACGCUGGCGGCAUGCCUUACACAUGCAAGUCGAACGGCAGCAUGAUCUAGCUUGCUAGAUUGAUGGCGAGUGGCGAACGGGUGAGUAAUACAUCGGAACGUGCCCUGUAGUGGGGGAUAACUAGUCGAAAGAUUAGCUAAUACCGCAUACGACCUGAGGGUGAAAGUGGGGGACCGCAAGGCCUCAUGCUAUAGGAGCGGCCGAUGUCUGAUUAGCUAGUUGGUGGGGUAAAGGCCCACCAAGGCGACGAUCAGUAGCUGGUCUGAGAGGACGAUCAGCCACACUGGGACUGAGACACGGCCCAGACUCCUACGGGAGGCAGCGGUGGGGAAUUUUGGACAAUGGGCGAAAGCCUGAUCCAGCAAUGCCGCGUGUGUGAAGAAGGCCUCGGUGUAAG